Molecule: ribosomal RNA, 455 nt
Filed under: uncultured bacterium
Lineage: Bacteria
Description: bacterial SSU rRNA
Rfam family: Bacterial small subunit ribosomal RNA
Source: RNAcentral
UACGGGAUGCAGCAGUGGGGAAUAUUGCACAAUGGGCGCAAGCCUGAUGCAGCCAUGCCGCGUGUAUGAAAAAGGCCUUCGGGUUGUAAAGUACUUUCAGUCGUGAGGAAGGUGUUAAGGUUAAUAACCUUAGCAAUUGACGUUAGCGACAGAAGAAGCACCGGCUAACUCCGUGCCAGCAGCCGCGGUAAUACGGAGGGUGCGAGCGUUAAUCGGAAUUACUGGGCGUAAAGGGCACGCAGGCGGUUAAUUAAGUUGGAUGUGAAAUCCCCGGGCUUAACCUGGGAAUGGCAUUCAAGACUGGUUAGCUAGAGUCUUGUAGAGGGGGUAGAAUUCCAUGUGUAGCGGUGAAAUGCGUAGAGAUGUGGAGGAAUACCGGGUGGCGAAGGCGGCCUCCUGGGACAAAGACUGACGCUCAUGUGCGAAAGCGUGGGGAGCAAACAGGAUUAGAUACC